This 207-nucleotide long non-coding RNA is filed under the name Homo sapiens (human). RNAcentral's name for it is "non-protein coding lnc-TMEM177-1:2". The record is from RNAcentral. Lineage: Eukaryota; Metazoa; Chordata; Mammalia; Primates; Hominidae.
UCUUUGGUCAUUGAGCACAUCCAGGUGAAUAAAGCACACUUAGAGAGCUCAUGGUUGAUUAACCCACACAUGAGCUCUCCCUGCCACAUCGAGAUCAUCCUUACUGAAAAGGAACAAAUUGUUCCUAAACCAGAAGAGGAGGUUGCCCAGAAGAAAAAGUUAGCGCAGAAGAAACUAAAGAAACAAAAACGUAUGGCUCUGGAAUAA